RNAcentral lists this long non-coding RNA (649 nucleotides) under Zonotrichia albicollis (white-throated sparrow). RNAcentral's name for it is "lncRNA (ENSZALG00000000645.1)". The record is from RNAcentral. Lineage: Eukaryota; Metazoa; Chordata; Aves; Passeriformes; Passerellidae.
CCAUCAGCUCAAUGACAUCAUCACCCUCACAGUCCAUCCGUCCAAUCAUCUCCAUGGCCACUCAUGGUCCAUCUGUCCAAUAUCCGUGUCCAACAGAGUUCCAGAACAUUCUGAGGGUCCCACCAGCUCAAUGGCAUCAUCACCCUCAUGGUCCAUCUGUCCAAUCCCUGUGUCCAAAGAAGUUCCAGAACAUUCCGGGGGUCCCAUCAGAUUCUCACCCUCAUUGUCCAGCCCUCCAAUCAUCUCCAUGGCCACUCAUGGUCCAUCCAUCCAAUCCCUGUUCUAGAACAUUCUGGAUGUCCCAUCAGCUCAAUGACAUCAUCACCCUCACGGUUCAUCCGUCCAAUCAUCUCCAUGGCCACUCACGGUCCAUCCAUCCAAUCCCUGUUCUAGAACAUUCUGGGUGUCCCAUCAGUCAGUGACAUCAUCACCCUCAUGGUCCAUUCCAUCCAAUCAUCUCCAUGGCCACCCAUGGUCCAUCUGUCCAAUCUCCAUCUCCCACACAGUUCCAGAACAUUCCAGGGGUCCCACCAGGUCAGUGACAUCAUCACCCCCAUGGUCCAACCCUCUGAGCAUCUCCAUGGCCACUCACGGUCCAUGUGUCCAUCCAAGCAUGUCUAUGGCCACCCAUGGUCCAUGCAUGCAAUCC